RNAcentral lists this long non-coding RNA (384 nucleotides) under Monodelphis domestica (gray short-tailed opossum). Its description in RNAcentral is "lncRNA (ENSMODG00000035845.2)". Lineage: Eukaryota; Metazoa; Chordata; Mammalia; Didelphimorphia; Didelphidae. The record is from RNAcentral.
UGAAUUCUCAGUGAAUGGUUUUUUGUUUGUAGGUGGCAAACUUACCAGAUCAAACCUGACAGACUUCAGUUACUCUGGACAUCUUAAUGAUUCAUCAUGAUUGACUCAGCUGUGGCACAUCCAUCAUAUGUGAGGACUAGAGUGACCUGAAUUCCCUAUUUCUUUCAUGUUGAUGCCUGGAGACUGAGUCAAGUGACAGCCUAGAAGCAGCAGAAGUUCAGACCUCUGAAUACCCUUCCUUACUGAUCACAAACUGAAUGCUCCUAGGGGACUGAAAAUCAAACCUAACAACAGGACAGAGCCAAGGAACCCUCCUGCUGGACUCAAUUCAAAAGACUGCACAGAGAGAUCUCCUGAGAAAGCUCCAAGAGGGAAGACUGACAG